CUGAAUUGCUCCCUGGCUUUUAUAGCCUCUCCCAUAGUACCUUCCGCCUCUUCCAAAAGUUCUUAUCACUGGAGUGGAAAUAACUCCUCUAGGACGCCCUCUCGCUGGUCCUCCCACAGAAACGACCUGCAGAGGAAAUGGCCCUCUACCCCCUCGUCCACGUCUGCUUCCAGCCCAAUGGCCGACUACAGUGCCGGCAAUUUCAAGUUUCCCUCCCUGAGAAGGAAUAGGUUG
RNAcentral lists this long non-coding RNA (234 nucleotides) under Gallus gallus (chicken). Lineage: Eukaryota; Metazoa; Chordata; Aves; Galliformes; Phasianidae. The record is from RNAcentral.